Xyrichtys novacula (pearly razorfish) is the source of this 298-nucleotide non-coding RNA. The record is from the annotation of a GenBank genome assembly. Lineage: Eukaryota; Metazoa; Chordata; Actinopteri; Labriformes; Labridae.
AGUUUGUGGUGUUUGUUGAACUUGAGUUUGUGUCGUGUUUGCACUUGAGUUUUGGUCUUGAUUUUGUGUGUAUGUUGAACUUGAGUUUGUGGUGUUUUUGAACUUGAGUUGGUGGUGUUAUUGAACUUGAGCUUGUGUUUGAACUUGAGUUUGUGGUUUUUGUUGAACUUGAGUUUGUGUUGUUUUUGAACUUCAGUUUGUGUGGUGUUUUUGAACUUGAAUUUUUGUCGUGUUUCAACUUGAGUUUGUGGCGUGUUUGAAAAUGAGUUUGUGGCAUGUUUGAACUUGAGUUUGUGUU